UUUUUCUUUUAAUUAUUUACCAGAUAAAAAAGAAAAAAUAGUGAUUGUAUCUCUUCCCUCCCAACAUUUCAGUUGACCCAGGUCCAGUGGGAGAGACAUUUGUUGAAAGGUGAUUUGAGCUCCUGGCCUGGGGCAAACUCUUCCCCUCGCCUGCACCACCUCAGGUGGGGGGCCAGGGGCGGCUCCAGGCAGGACUUGCAUGGUGGCAGCAAAGUGGCAGUGUGGCUGUCAUCCUCUUCUCCCUGUUGCCACAGCAUUCAGACUCCCUCCUGUCUGUCCCACUACGCCAUCCUCCCCCAUUCAUCAAAGGAGUAGGAAGAUGGGGCUCGAGGAGGCAGGGACAGGUGGAGAGCAGGACUGGGAGGCACGUAGCAGAUCCAACAGAAGGCCCUGAUCUUCUGCUUCUAUUGCACAGCCUGGCUUAGGUCCCCUGCCCUGAGCAGUGGGCACAGAGCAAAAUGCUACUGAAAUUCACAAAACCUGUUGUUGUGCCGGGCUCAAGGAGGGGAGGUGUGUUGUUGUGUGGCUUGUUCUGAUAUAUGUGUCUCCUUUAAGUUAUUCCAUAAUGGGCAAGGCAGAUUAUGCCUCUU
Myotis brandtii (Brandt's bat) is the source of this 590-nucleotide long non-coding RNA. RefSeq lists it as uncharacterized. NCBI's taxonomy places the organism in Eukaryota, Metazoa, Chordata, Mammalia, Chiroptera, Vespertilionidae. The record is from RefSeq and is a predicted model, not a curated record. The transcript is spliced from 2 exons.